GGGAAUAUUGGACAAUGGGGGCAACCCUGAUCCAGCAAUGCCGCGUGUGUGAAGAAGGUCUUCGGAUUGUAAAGCACUUUCGACGGGGACGAUGAUGACGGUACCCGUAGAAGAAGCCCCGGCUAACUUCGUGCCAGCAGCCGCGGUAAUACGAAGGGGGCUAGCGUUGCUCGGAAUGACUGGGCGUAAAGGGCGCGUAGGCGGCUUGUACAGUCAGAUGUGAAAUUCCUGGGCUUAACCUGGGGGCUGCAUUUGAUACGUGCGGGCUAGAGUGUGAAAGAGGGUCGUGGAAUUCCCAGUGUAGAGGUGAAAUUCGUAGAUAUUGGGAAGAACACCGGUGGCGAAGGCGGCGACCUGGUUCAUGACUGACGCUGAGGCGCGAAAGCGUGGGGAGCAAA
Molecule: ribosomal RNA, 398 nt
Filed under: uncultured bacterium
Lineage: Bacteria
Description: bacterial SSU rRNA
Rfam family: Bacterial small subunit ribosomal RNA
Source: RNAcentral